AGCAGAGCUGAAUCACUACCUUUCCUGCAUACUCUAAACUGUUGCUUGCGAAAGAGGAACUGGGGACUUCGACUAAUACAGGCUGCUUCCAUUCAAAUGUUCCAGAGGGCAGACACACAUCCAAACAGACUUCUCUUUGCUUUUCAGAGCUUAUAAGGAGCAGGCAUCUGAAGCUCUAUUCCAGAGAUUCUCCUGAACAAGUUACCUGUUGGUGCAAGCUUCAAAAAGGAUACUUAAGUGACCAGUCCUAUUCAUACUGUGAGCCAGGAGAGAUAUGUGGUGUAAAAAGAGACAUUUUCCCCAAUGUUUGCUGACCAGAAGGAAUUGAGAAGGAAAAUCAAUAUCUGUUGAAGAAUCUAAAGAGCCAAAUCUUCUGAGCCUGGGCCUACUGCUGUCAGCAGCUCUGAGACCUCCCUCAUCUGAGAAUUACCAGGUCUGACAACACUUUCCCUCCAGCCUGCAGGGAAGGUCAACAAAGCUACAGAAAACUCUCGUUCUCUAGACUUACAACCCUCCAGCUGUGCAGCUGAGCAGGAACCUUACAAUCUCCAUCCUUAGAGAAGUUUCAGAAAUACAGACAAACGGGGUGAAAACUCACAGAUGCUGAGCCUGAUAUAUACAAAAGCCUUCAGAUAGUCUCCUCACAGAAGAGCCCAAUUAAGUCCACAUAAUUAGUUCAAACAUCUAGAUUAGGUAUAGGUAAAACGAGCCCUUUCUCAGUCUACCAAAACAGAGCAAAAGAUUGACAUAAUACUCUAAAAGAUUAUUGUUCUAAUAACAGUAUUAUAAAGCAGUUUCACCCAUAUUUAUUUUGAUCAGUAUAAAAGUAGGAGUGUAGAAAAUAAAGCUUUGUUUAUAUUUUUAAAAAUUGAUUAAGAAGCUCUGAUGAAACCUAUUGGAGGGGUGAUUGCUGUGCUGAAGUAUAGAGAGGGUGUGGCAAUUGUAAAAUUAUAGCAUUACCAUUUUCUGCUUCUGUGCUAUUGCCUUAGCUCUGAGAGUGACUGGUUUCUAUCAGAUUGUUAGAAUACGUCCAAUAAAUUUAGAGACAGUCUAAGUGACUGUGAAAUGCCUCAAGGGCAAUAGAAAUCAAAUAGAAACACAU
Molecule: long non-coding RNA, 1102 nt
Filed under: Callithrix jacchus (white-tufted-ear marmoset)
Lineage: Eukaryota; Metazoa; Chordata; Mammalia; Primates; Cebidae
Description: lncRNA (ENSCJAG00000079875.1)
Source: RNAcentral